GACGCGAUUGACUGAAUCUGAAAAAUCCCCUCACUUCUCAUCAUGAAACUUUCUCCGCCCAGAUCUGUGCCGCCGCCGCCCGCUCCGCCGGUCUGGUCGUCGUCGUCGUCCAAAAACUCAUCUUGCUAAGAGUAAUUCGUGUGAAAAAUUGCUUUUUUUCACAAAUCCGUAACGUGCAGGAAUCGAAGAAAAGGGCGAAUUGGCCCCGGGAAAAAAAAAAGGACCGGUCAAACGCUCUGCACCGCAAUGGCGACACGUUCUUGAAGGGGGGCCGGCCGUGGUGCCAUUGCCAUUGUCGUGGCCUCUUAAUUCCUCAGGUGUCAAUCUCAUCUCCCAACCCAUAUGCAUGUACGCGUACGUACGUACGUACAUACGCCUACACCUACACCUACCGCUAUGAAUGUGACAAAUUCGAUAGUACAUGGAUGAAUGUACAGUCGUACUAGCUUUAGUACUUUAGCGUACAUAUAUAUCCCGAUCGAAUCUGACGACCUAUAUAUUCGACCAACAACUGAUAAGUGUUGUCAUAUGCAGCAAAUGAUUGGGAGGCUGGGAUUGAUUAGCAUGUGGUGUAGGUGUUUAACGUAGAGAGGGUGAUCAUGAUGUGUGGAUUAAUUUUAAUUUAAUUAACACUAGAGAUGAUGAACACCAUGCCAUGCAUUGCCAUGCCUUGGCGCCCACAGGUACACGUACACUUUUGAAAGAGACACGAGGAGAGGAAGAAGAAGAAGAGUAGCUACUAGCUAGUAUGGCUAACUAGCUUAGCUAGGGCCGAGGCUAGAACCCCUCGCUGGGCUUGACGCCCACGUUGACGAAGUAGGACGACGGCAAUGGGGUGGCGGCGGCGCUGCUGGUGCUCUCCCCNNNN
RNAcentral lists this long non-coding RNA (868 nucleotides) under Oryza brachyantha (malo sina). RNAcentral describes it as "long non-coding RNA (OBRA_LNC001631)". Lineage: Eukaryota; Viridiplantae; Streptophyta; Magnoliopsida; Poales; Poaceae. The record is from RNAcentral.